This 325-nucleotide long non-coding RNA is filed under the name Homo sapiens (human). RNAcentral describes it as "HSALNT0349010". The record is from RNAcentral. Lineage: Eukaryota; Metazoa; Chordata; Mammalia; Primates; Hominidae.
CUUUCUAUUGGAGAAUGGUAUUUAGAACCCAAGAUAUUGACAUGAGGAACCAGAUAAGGAAGAACAGUGUCACAUGAGGGAAAACUUCCUAGCAGUUGGAGAUGCCCAACAAUGAGUGAUCACAUUGUUUUAAAAGUGAGACUCCCAUUGCUGAUCACCCUGGAGAUUUCUGCAUGGGGGCACCCUGAACUUGAAAAUCUCUGAAGUGCCUCGCAAGAUUCAGGGCACUAAGGUCCAAAGGAGUGAAGAUUGGCAAACUGAUAAUAACUCCCCAAAUCUAUUACACUGACAUGUAUCAUCAAAUUAAUAAAUUCCAUAAAAAUAC